UACGGGGGGGGCAAGCGUUGUUCGGAAUUACUGGGCGUAAAGGGCUCGUAGGUGGCCAACUAAGUCAGACGUGAAAUCCCUCGGCUUAACCGGGGAACUGCGUCUGAUACUGGAUGGCUUGAGUUUGGGAGAGGGAUGCGGAAUUCCAGGUGUAGCGGUGAAAUGCGUAGAUAUCAGGAAGAACACCCGUGGCGAAGGCGGCUCUCUGGGACGGUACUGACGCUGAGACGCGAAAGCGUGGGGAGCGAACAGG
RNAcentral lists this ribosomal RNA (253 nucleotides) under uncultured bacterium. RNAcentral describes it as "partial 16S ribosomal RNA". It matches the Rfam family "Bacterial small subunit ribosomal RNA", at positions 524 to 776 of the family's 1533-position model. The record is from RNAcentral.